UCCGGUUUAGUACCGGCAGUCGCGCUAGACAUGGUAACUAACGCCGAGGGUUGCGCUCGUUGCGGGACUUAACCCAACACCUCACGACACGAGCUGACGACAGCCAUGCAGCACCUGUGUUCCGGUUCCCUUUCAGGCACACCCGCCUCUCAGCAGGCUUCCAGACAUGUCAAGGGUAGGUAAGGUUUUUCGCGUUGCAUCGAAUUAAUCCACAUAAUCCACCGCUUGUGCGGGUCCCCGUCAAUUCCUUUGAGUUUUAACCUUGCGGCCGUACUCCCCAGGCGGUCGACUUCACGCGUUAGCUUCGUUACUGAGAGUGUCAAACCCCCAACAACCAGUCGACAUCGUUUAGGGCUAGGACUAC
Molecule: unclassified non-coding RNA, 364 nt
Filed under: uncultured Gammaproteobacteria bacterium
Lineage: Bacteria; Pseudomonadati; Pseudomonadota; Gammaproteobacteria
Description: contains 16S-23S intergenic spacer region
Source: RNAcentral